Molecule: long non-coding RNA, 200 nt
Filed under: Elaeis guineensis (African oil palm)
Lineage: Eukaryota; Viridiplantae; Streptophyta; Magnoliopsida; Arecales; Arecaceae
Description: long non-coding RNA (EGUI_LNC063205)
Source: RNAcentral
GUAUAAGGUUUUGGUUGGUGAGCCAGUGAAAACUAACUGAGUUAUCUGUGAGCUUGAAAAAAUAAUCGAUUGUAAGGUUUUGGUUCAUGAACCUAAAAAAACUAAUUAAGUUAGAUUGUGAAUUCAUAAAAAUAAUCAAAUGAUAAUCUUGUGGGAUUAUAAUUGAAAUUACUAAGCGGAUUGACUUGGAGAGUAGAUGU